AUGAACGCUGGCGGCGUGUCUAAUCCAUGCAAGUCGAGCGAACAGACGAGGAGCUUGCUCCUCUGACGUUAGCGGCGGACGGGUGAGUAACACGUGGAUAACCUACCUAUAAGACUGGGAUAACUUCGGGAAACCGGAGCUAAUACCGGAUAAUAUAUUGAACCGCAUGGUUCAAUAGUGAAAGACGGUUUUGCUGUCACUUAUAGAUGGAUCCGCGCCGCAUUAGCUAGUUGGUAAGGUAACGGCUUACCAAGGCAACGAUGCGUAGCCGACCUGAGAGGGUGAUCGGCCACACUGGAACUGAGACACGGUCCAGACUCCUACGGGAGGCAGCAGUAGGGAAUCUUCCGCAAUGGGCGAAAGCCUGACGGAGCAACGCCGCGUGAGUGAUGAAGGUCUUCGGAUCGUAAAACUCUGUUAUUAGGGAAGAACAAAUGUGUAAGUAACUAUGCACGUCUUGACGGUACCUAAUCAGAAAGCCACGGCUAACUACGUG
Molecule: ribosomal RNA, 496 nt
Filed under: uncultured bacterium
Lineage: Bacteria
Description: partial 16S ribosomal RNA
Rfam family: Bacterial small subunit ribosomal RNA
Source: RNAcentral